AAACGCUUGAAGUCAGUCGCGUUCUCUGGGAUUCAGCCUUGCUUCUGCUUGGUGCAUUUCCUAGUUUACGGGCCAACAUGAAUUUUGACCAGUGGAAAAGGAUUUGGGGAAUGUGGCACCUCCGGGUGUGUUAUAGCCCCUUGUCGCAUACAUUGGUUGGGAUUGAGGUUU
RNAcentral lists this ribosomal RNA (171 nucleotides) under Ceratobasidium sp. RNAcentral describes it as "partial large subunit ribosomal RNA". The record is from RNAcentral. Lineage: Eukaryota; Fungi; Basidiomycota; Agaricomycetes; Cantharellales; Ceratobasidiaceae.